GACGAACGCUUGCGGCGUGCUUAACACAUGCAAGUCGAACGGAAAGGCCCUGCUUUUGUGGGGUGCUCGAGUGGCGAACGGGUGAGUAACACGUGAGUAACCUGCCCUUGACUUUGGGAUAACUUCAGGAAACUGGGGCUAAUACCGGAUAGGAGCUCCUGCUGCAUGGUGGGGGUUGGAAAGUUUCGGCGGUUGGGGAUUGGCUCGCGGCUUAUCAGCUUGUUGGUGGGGUAGUGGCUUACCAAGGCUUUGACGGGUAGCCGGCCUGAGAGGGUGACCGGCCACAUUGGGACUGAGAUACGGCCCAGACUCCUACGGGAGGCAGCAGUGGGGAAUAUUGCACAAUGGGCGGAAGCCUGAUGCAGCAACGCCGCGUGCGGGAUGACGGCCUUCGGGUUGUAAACCGCUUUCGCCUGUGACGAAGCGUGAGUGACGGUAAUGGGUAAAGAAGCACCGGCUAACUACGUGCCAGCAGCCGCGGUGAUACGUAGGGUGCGAGCGUUGUCCGGAUUUAUUGGGCGUAAAGGGCUCGUAGGUGGUUGAUCGCGUCGGAAGUGUAAUCUUGGGGCUUAACCCUGAGCGUGCUUUCGAUACGGGUUGACUUGAGGAAGGUAGGGGAGAAUGGAAUUCCUGGUGGAGCGGUGGAAUGCGCAGAUAUCAGGAGGAACACCAGUGGCGAAGGCGGUUCUCUGGGCCUUUCCUGACGCUGAGGAGCGAAAGCGUGGGGAGCGAACAGGCUUAGAUACCCUGGUAGUCCACGCUGUAAACGGUGGGUACUAGGUGUGGGGUCCAUUCCACGGGUUCCGUGCCGUAGCUAACGCUUUAAGUACCCCGCCUGGGGAGUACGGCCGCAAGGCUAAAACUCAAAGGAAUUGACGGGGCCCCGCACAAGCGGCGGAGCAUGCGGAUUAAUUCGAUGCAACGCGUAGAACCUUACCUGGGUUUGACAUGGAUCGGGAGUGCUCAGAGAUGGGUGUGCCUCUUUUGGGGUCGGUUCACAGGUGGUGCAUGGCUGUCGUCAGCUCGUGUCGUGAGAUGUUGGGUUAAGUCCCGCAACGAGCGCAACCCUUGUUCACUGUUGCCAGCACGUUAUGGUGGGGACUCAGUGGAGACCGCCGCGGGUCAACUCGGAGGAAGGUGGGGAUGACGUCAAGUCAUCAUGCCCCUUAUGUCCAGGGCUUCACGCAUGCUACAAUGGCUGGUACAGAGAGUGGCGAGCCUGUGAGGGUGAGAGAAUCUCGGAAAGCCGGUCUCAGUUCGGAUUGGGGUCUUGCAACUCGACCUCACGAAGUCGGAGUCGCUAGUAAUCGCAGAUCAGCAACGCUGCGGGGGAAUACGUUCCCGGGGAA
Molecule: ribosomal RNA, 1349 nt
Filed under: uncultured bacterium
Lineage: Bacteria
Description: partial 16S ribosomal RNA
Rfam family: Bacterial small subunit ribosomal RNA
Source: RNAcentral